Long non-coding RNA from Pecten maximus, 683 nucleotides. RefSeq lists it as uncharacterized. The record is from RefSeq and is a predicted model, not a curated record. Lineage: Eukaryota; Metazoa; Mollusca; Bivalvia; Pectinida; Pectinidae. The transcript has 3 exons.
GUUAACUGACAUGGAAAGGGGGGUAUGUCAUAUGCAAACCUUUUAGAACGGCUGAUCCACUGAACUCCCUCCGUUAAGGAGAGCACCGUUUCCUCACCUGUGGUUGCCGUUGGAAUCCUGAUAACCAGCUUAGUAUCGUGAUGCGACGUCUACAGCUGUUGUAUCACCUGUCCGUGAUACUAGCACUGACCAUUGUCCAGCUACGGCCAGUGGUGGCAGAUAUCGAUGACGGCGCCCUCCUUGGAUGUGGAUUGAUUAACUUCUACUUUUAUCGUAAGGGAGUCGAACAGGGAAAGAGUAACAACGAAAACAAAGGAGCUAUCGACCUGGUAACAGCGAUUUGUACCCAGGAAAAUUUGGCAAGUCCACAAAACAUUCCGGAAUGUGUGAGAUGUCGGCUGAUUGCAAACCCUGCGCAGUGCGUCGCUCCGUGUAACCUGAUAUUGACACCCCUUUGUACAGCUUAAUCAUGAUUUUGGCGUAACUGUCUUAAUAUACCAACAAAAUCGAUGAAAUAUAUUUUUAUUUCUUUUGGAACCCACACAAAAUACUGACAUCCAAAAGUUAAUAUCCUGAAGCUCAACCUGUCAUCAACAAAAUUCAAUUGGAUUUUCUGCUAUUAUUUAUUUAGAAUAUGUUCAACCUGAUGUUAUAAAUAAAUAUCAAAUGCUUUUACAACUGUU